CCCGGCUCGCCGUGGAGACCGGCGCGUGAGGAACCUACCGGUACCGGCCGCGCGCUGGUAGUCGCCGGUGUGGCUGCACCUCACCAAUCCCGUGCGCCGCGGCUGGGCCGUCGGAGAGUGCGUGUGCUUCUCUCCUGCACGCGGUGCUUGGGCUCGGCCAGGCGGGGUCCGCCGCCAGGGUUUGAGGAUGGGGGAGUAGCUACAGGAAGCGACCCCGCGAUGGCAAGGUAUAUUUUUGUGGAAUGAAAAGGAAGUAUUAGAAAUGAGCUGAAGACCAUUCACAGAUUAAUAUUUUUGGGGACAGAUUUGUGAUGCUUGAUUCACCCUUGAAGUAAUGUAGACAGAAGUUCUCAAAUUUGCAUAUUACAUCAACUGGAACCAGCAGUGAAUCUUAAUGUUCACUUAAAUCAGAACUUGCAUAAGAAAGAGAAUGGGAGUCUGGUUAAAUAAAGAUGACUAUAUCAGAGACUUGAAAAGGAUCAUUCUCUGUUUUCUGAUAGUGUAUAUGGCCAUUUUAGUGGGCACAGAUCAGGAUUUUUACAGUUUACUUGGAGUGUCCAAAACUGCAAGCAGUAGAGAAAUAAGACAAGCUUUCAAGAAAUUGGCAUUGAAGUUACAUCCUGAUAAAAACCCGAAUAACCCAAAUGCACAUGGCGAUUUUUUAAAAAUAAAUAGAGCAUAUGAAGUACUCAAAGAUGAAGAUCUACGGAAAAAGUAUGACAAAUAUGGAGAAAAGGGACUUGAGGAUAAUCAAGGUGGCCAGUAUGAAAGCUGGAACUAUUAUCGUUAUGAUUUUGGUAUUUAUGAUGAUGAUCCUGAAAUCAUAACAUUGGAAAGAAGAGAAUUUGAUGCUGCUGUUAAUUCUGGAGAACUGUGGUUUGUAAAUUUUUACUCCCCAGGCUGUUCACACUGCCAUGAUUUAGCUCCCACAUGGAGAGACUUUGCUAAAGAAGUGGAUGGGUUACUUCGAAUUGGAGCUGUUAACUGUGGUGAUGAUAGAAUGCUUUGCCGAAUGAAAGGAGUCAACAGCUAUCCCAGCCUCUUCAUUUUUCGGUCUGGAAUGGCCCCAGUGAAAUAUCAUGGAGACAGAUCAAAGGAGAGUUUAGUGAGUUUUGCAAUGCAGCAUGUUAGAAGUACAGUGACAGAACUUUGGACAGGAAAUUUUGUCAACUCCAUACAAACUGCUUUUGCUGCUGGUAUUGGCUGGCUGAUCACUUUUUGUUCAAAAGGAGGAGAUUGUUUGACUUCACAGACACGACUCAGGCUUAGUGGCAUGUUGGAUGGUCUUGUUAAUGUAGGAUGGAUGGACUGUGCCACCCAGGAUAACCUUUGUAAAAGCUUAGAUAUUACAACAAGUACUACUGCUUAUUUUCCUCCUGGAGCCACUUUAAAUAACAAAGAGAAAAACAGUAUUUUGCUGCUUCAUUGAGAGAAUCAGACCAGCAGAGAGAGAGAGUUAUAUGACAAAAUAUGCUGAGGAUAAAAUAUUGACAAAUAAAGAAGAUUUGUUAGAAGGGCCUUUUAUACUCGUUUGUGUUUUAAAUAAGAGACUCGGGCCGAAAACAAGUUUAAGAUAAGAUCUGUAUCAUUGUAUUUUACUCUAAAAACUCCUAAGUGGUUUGGUUUUUAGAUGAAAACCUCUAUAAUGAGCAAAAGUCCAUUCCAAUUUUCCACUUCUAAGUUCCUCUUAAUUAAUCUUAAUUAUUGGUUGGGGAAUGAAGUGUCUUUGAUAGUCUAUUAUUCUUCCUUCUAGUGUUAUAAAAAUUCUUAAGUGAAUGUGUAAAACAUUGGCAUUCUGUAAAACAUGAUUAGCAUUAAAAUUAAGCUAAAGAUAAUGUGGUUUUUCUUGAUGAUUGGGAGGUCACUCAGGAUUUUUCUGAGCAUUUUUAUAGAAUACACAUCAUAGUUAAUUAAAAAUUCCAGUUAAUGCAACAUCUUAUAAUGGAAUUUAUUGUAUAUCACUAUUUAAGAAACAGCUUAGUUAUAUAAUAUUUUUGAUAAUUGCCAAAAUACACUUUUUUUGAAAAAAGACAUUUGGAAUUGUUUGAAAAACUAUUUACCUUCUAUAAUCAUUUUCCUAAAAAUACUACAUUGGAAAUUGAAAAAACAAAAGAUAUCAAAUAUAAUGAAUAUUUAUUCAAAAAGAUUACAAUGUGAUUUUCUUUUUCUAGUUUCUCAACUCAUUGGAUGCUAAAGAAAUAUAUUUGGAAGUAAUACAUAAUCUUCCAGAUUUUGAACUACUUUCGGCAAACACACUAGAGGAUCGUUUGGCUCAUCAUCGGUGGCUGUUAUUUUUUCAUUUUGGAAAAAAUGAAAAUUCAAAUGAUCCUGAGCUGAAAAAACUAAAAACUCUACUUAAAAAUGAUCAUAUUCAAGUUGGCAGGUUUGACUGUUCCUCUGCACCAGACAUCUGUAGUAAUCUGUAUGUUUUUCAGCCGUCUCUAGCAGUAUUUAAAGGACAAGGAACCAAAGAAUAUGAAAUUCAUCAUGGAAAGAAGAUUCUAUAUGAUAUACUUGCCUUUGCCAAAGAAAGUGUGAAUUCUCAUGUUACCACGCUUGGACCUCAAAAUUUUCCUGCCAAUGACAAAGAACCAUGGCUUGUUGAUUUCUUUGCCCCCUGGUGUCCACCAUGUCGAGCUUUACUACCAGAGUUACGAAGAGCAUCAAAUCUUCUUUAUGGUCAGCUUAAGUUUGGUACACUAGAUUGUACAGUUCAUGAGGGACUCUGUAACAUGGAGAGUAAAAAGGGACCAUUCGUAUAAUUACCCAUGCCGAUUUCUCAAUGUUUCAAUGCCUAUGGUUCUCAUGGCGAAUGGAGCAGCUAUAAAUAAGGAUCAGUAUAACAUUCAGGCUUAUCCAACAACAGUGGUAUUCAACCAGUCCAACAUUCAUGAGUAUGAAGGACAUCACUCUGCUGAACAAAUCUUGGAGUUCAUAGAGGAUCUUAUGAAUCCUUCAGUGGUCUCCCUUACACCCACCACCUUCAACGAACUAGUUACACAAAGAAAACACAACGAAGUCUGGAUGGUUGAUUUCUAUUCUCCGUGGUGUCAUCCUUGCCAAGUCUUAAUGCCAGAAUGGAAAAGAAUGGCCCGGACAUUAACUGGACUGAUCAACGUGGGCAGUAUAGAUUGCCAACAGUAUCAUUCUUUUUGUGCCCAGGAAAACGUUCAAAGAUACCCUGAGAUAAGAUUUUUUCCCCCAAAAUCAAAUAAAGCUUAUCAUUAUCACAGUUACAAUGGUUGGAAUAGGGAUGCUUAUUCCCUGAGAAUCUGGGGUCUAGGAUUUUUACCUCAAGUAUCCACAGAUCUAACACCUCAGACUUUCAGUGAAAAAGUUCUACAAGGGAAAAAUCAUUGGGUGAUUGAUUUCUAUGCUCCUUGGUGUGGACCUUGCCAGAAUUUUGCUCCAGAAUUUGAGCUCUUGGCUAGGAUGAUUAAAGGAAAAGUGAAAGCUGGAAAAGUAGACUGUCAGGCUUAUGCUCAGACAUGCCAGAAAGCUGGGAUCAGGGCCUAUCCAACUGUUAAAUUUUAUUUCUACGAAAGAGCAAAGAGAAAUUUUCAAGAAGAGCAGAUAAAUACCAGAGAUGCAAAAGCAAUCGCUGCCUUAAUAAGUGAAAAAUUGGAAACUCUCCGAAAUCAAGGCAAGAGGAAUAAGGAUGAACUUUGAUAAUGUUGAAGAUGAAGAAAAAGUUUAAAAGAAAUUCUGACAGAUGACAUCAGAAGACACCUAUUUAGAAUGUUACAUUUAUGAUGGGAAUGAAUGAACAUUAUCUUAGACUUGCAGUUGUACUGCCAGAAUUAUCUACAGCACUGGUGUAAAAGAAGGGUCUGCAAACUUUUUCUGUAAAGGGCCGGUUUAUAAAUAUUUUAGACUUUGCAGGCUAUAAUAUAUGGUUCACACAUGAGAACAAGAAUAGAGUCAUCAUGUAUUCUUUGUUAUUUGCUUUUAACAACCUUUAAAAAAUAUUAAAACGAUUCUUAGCUCAGAGCCAUACAAAAGUAGGCUGGAUUCAGUCCAUGGACCAUAGAUUGCUGUCCCCCUCGACGGACUUAUAAUGUUUCAGGUGGCUGGCUUGAACAUGAGUCUGCUGUGCUAUCUACAUAAAUGUCUAAGUUGUAUAAAGUCCACUUUCCCUUCACGUUUUUUGGCUGACCUGAAAAGAGGUAACUUAGUUUUUGGUCACUUGUUCUCCUAAAAAUGCUAUCCCUAACCAUAUAUUUAUAUUUCGUUUUAAAAACACCCAUGAUGUGGCACAGUAAACAAACCCUGUUAUGCUGUAUUAUUAUGAGGAGAUUCUUCAUUGUUUUCUUUCCUUCUCAAAGGUUGAAAAAAUGCUUUUAAUUUUUCACAGCCGAGAAACAGUGCAGCAGUAUAUGUGCACACAGUAAGUACACAAAUUUGAGCAACAGUAAGUGCACAAAUUCUGUAGUUUGCCGUAUCAUCCAGGAAAACCUGAGGGAAAAAAAUUAUAGCAAUUAACUGGGCAUUGUAGAGUAUCCUAAAUAUGUUAUCAAGUAUUUAGAGUUCUAUAUUUUAAAGAUAUAUGUGUUCAUGUAUUUUCUGAAAUUGCUUUCAUAGAAAUUUUCCCACUGAUAGUUGAUUUUUGAGGCAUCUAAUAUUUACAUAUUUGCCUUCUGAACUUUGUUUUGACCUGUAUCCUUUAUUUACAUUGGGUUUUUCUUUCGUAGUUUUGGUUUUUCACUCCUGUCCAGUCUAUUUAUUAUUCAAAUAGGAAAAAUUACUUUACAGGUUGUUUUACUGUAGCUUAUAAUGAUACUGUAGUUAUUCCAGUUACUAGUUUACUGUCAGAGGGCUGCCUUUUUCAGAUAAAUAUUGACAUAAUAACUGAAGUUAUUUUUAUAAGAAAAUCAAGUAUAUAAAUCUAGGAAAGGGAUCUUCUAGUUUCUGUGUUGUUUAGACUCAAAGAAUCACAAAUUUGUCAGUAACAUGUAGUUGUUUAGUUAUAAUUCAGAGUGUACAGAAUGGUAAAAAUUCCAAUCAGUCAAAAGAGGUCAAUGAAUUAAAAGGCUUGCAACUUUUUCAAAAACCUGUUAGAAUAUGCUUUAUUGUGUUUUGAGGAGUUUUCCUUUUUUUCUUUUCAAUAUCACUUUAUCCUGCUCACCAGUAUUUCCUCAUAAGGGUUAUUAUAGCCAUAAUUAAUGUUAAAAUAGACUUUGUUCUUCAUAUUCUCCCAUCUUUUUCGCUACUAUAUACUCUGUCUGGAUUCUGCUGUAUGCCUGUUGGCAUAUAUGGAACAGUCACCACUUGUCACACUUAACACCAGCUUUUUGAAUUAUGAUCAGUAAUGGCAAGAGCCUUUCAUUCUCGAAUGUUUAAAGCCUAGGAGUUCUACAAAAUUGGCUUCUUUCUACAAGAAUCCCAAAAUGGAAUGCCUAAAGAAGUCUUACUUGGGUAAAUACUUACUAAAAUAUACUGGUUAUGUGCAUAUCACCACACUGGACACUGAGGAGUGUUCAAAAGGAAUCUAAGACAUGGUCCCCAUCUUCCAACUGUCUGUAAUUCACUGUUUUGUCAUUGAGCUCAUAAGGUACUUACAUUACUACCUAUAAAUGUUUCCUGUACUUGUUAGUUGUUGAGAAACAUUUUAGGCAGUAAAUAAAAUAGUAAAUAUUAUGUGUCCUAUAAUUUGACCUAAGCUGUGUGCCUUUGGAAUCAGCUCUAAGCCAGGGCCCCCUGGGAGUCAUGUUAAGAAACACGUAUCAUAAAGUGACAUACAUCAAGGUUAUCUUAUAUAGUCAUAACAGUAUUAUUGGGUCUUUCAAAAACAGCUGGCAGAUUGAGCUUUUAAUGGCUAUAUUGAUACAGUAGAUAGAGCACCUCUAAGGAGUACCAGGUAUAAUGUGCCAUUUCUCUCAGCAACACCAUUUUUGUGUGCAGCUGACCCUCUAACAUGGUAUCAAUUCUAGCUGACCAAAGCACAUUCUAUCAGGCAGCCAGGCUUGGAAAUUAGGUCCAUUUAAAGUAUGUGGCUUACAGUCAGGUAUGGUGGUGUGCGCCUAUUGUCCCAUCUACUUGAGAGGCUGAGGCAGGAGGGAUUGCUUGGGCUCAGGAUUUUGAAUCCAGCCUGGGCAACAUAGCAAGACCCCAUCUCUAAUAAAUAAAUUAUGUUUUGGGCAUUAAUGAUGUUUGUCUAUUCUGAUUUCUCAAAUUUUAUUUAGGUCUUUCAUAGCUUUUUUAUUUAAAGGUAUAUGAUUAAGAUAAAGGAAAAGUAAAAUGAAAUGUUUAUGUAAUUUUAUAUUCUCAAAAUUUUCUUUAAAUUUGCUCUGUUUUCUGACAGUGCUCAAAGUGGGAAUUUUUUUAGAAGUACGGUUAUCAAAAAAACACAUUUCCUAUGGGACACACAUUUCAAAGAUGUUUAGUACGAUAAAAUUUUUAGUAAAAGGGUAGCACUUUUAAGUCAUUUGAAUAGAAUAUUUGUGUAAUAUUUAGUCUAGUGUUAGUCCUUAAAUCUGCCAACAAAACCAGAUAGAUGUCUUAAAGUAGGCACAUUUAUUCCAUUGUGACUGUUAAGAAAUAAUAAAAGAUUAAAUUAACAAAAUGCAUUUUAAAUUUUUAUGAUACCUAUAGAAAAUUGAUAAUGAAGAUGAAAAGUAAAUAACCUUUCUGAUAAUAUUCUACUUUACACAUAUACUGAAAACUUACUUACAUAUACCCAAAUUCUUCUAGUGAAGAAGUUUGUAAUAUGGUUUGAGUAUUUGUCCCCUCCAAAUCUCAUGUUGAAAUAUGAUCCCCAGUGUUGGAUAUGGGGCCUGGUGGGAGGUGUUUGGGUGAUGGGGGCUGAUCCCUCAUAAAUGGCUUUGUGCCUUCCCCAGUGGUAAUGAGUUCCUGCUGUGUUUAUUCCUGCAAGAGCUGGUUGUUAAAAGGAACUUGGCACCACCACCUCCUCUCUUUCUCGCUCCUUCUCUGUGUGACAUGCCUUCUCCCCCCGUGCCUUCUGCCAUGAGUAAAAGCUCCCUGAGACCUCACCAGAAGCUGAGCAGAUGCUGGUGCCAUGUUUUUACAGCCUGCAGAACUGCAAGUCAAAUAAACGUUUUCUUUAUAAGGUAACCAGUCCCAGGUAUUCCUUCAUUGCAAUGCAAAACAGACUAAUACAGUUUCUUUUCAGUAAGAAUUACAAAAUUUAGGCCAAUGACCAAGCUGAGUAUAAAUUACUAAUCAUACACAAAAAUGUGUUUCACUGGCUUGAGUCAUUUUUCUGUUUAACACUGAAUUUACACUUAGAUUCUUGUACUGUCACUGAGUCCCCUUGUAAACAGCUAGGUAUAUUUUGUGAAUGGAAACUAGCCAAAAAUACAGCCAAAGUCUCAACGCCAAACUGGUCUACAUCAGUAUGGACUCCAGAAAUGCAUCUUUCAACCACUUGAUUGCAUUAAGUAGUCAUUUGAGUGCAUCACCUAGUGGCCUUUGGUCCUGAAAGUUAGCAAUCAUCCCCAAAAAGGUCUGUGUUAAUAACUGAUAGACAAUCUUCAUUAAGCAACUGCUGUUUUUUUUUUUUAAUACUUCAAGUUCUGCAAUACAUGUGCAGAACAUGCAGGUUUGUUACAUAGGUAUACAUGUGCCAUGGUGGUUUGCUGCACCCAUCAACCUGUCAUCUACAUUAGCUAUUUCUUCUAAUGUUGUCCUUCCCCUUGCCCCCUACCCCGCCGACAGGCCCCAUUGUUGAUGUUCCCCUCCCUGUGUCCAUAUGUUCUCAUUGUUCAACUCCCACUUACGAGUGACAACAUGUGGUGUUUGGUUUUCUGUUCCUGUUAGUUUGCUGAGAAUAAUGGUUUCCGGCUUCAUCCCUGUCCCUGCAAAGGACAUGAACGCAUCCUUUUUUAUGGCUGCAUAGUAUUCCAUGGUGUGUUUGUGCCCGUUUCUUUAUCCAGUCUAACAUUGAUGGGCAUUUUGGUUGGUUCCAAGUGUUUCCUAUUGUGAAUAGUGCUCCAAUAAACAUACGUGUGCAUGUGUCUUUAUAGUAAAAUUAUUUAUAAUCCUUUAGGUAUAUACCCAGUAACGGGAUUGCUGGGUCAAAUGGUAUUUCUAUUUCUAGAUCCUUGAGGAAUCGCCACACUGUCUUCCACAAUGGUUGAACAAAUUUACACUCCCACUAACAGUGUAAAAGCAUUCCUAUUUCUCCACAUCCUCUCCAGCAUCUGUUGUUUCCUCACUUUUUAAUGAUCGCCAUUCUAACUGAUGUGACAUGGUAUCUCAUUGUGUUUUUGAUUUGCAUUUCUCUAAUGACCACUGAUGAUGAGCUUUUUUUCAUAUCUUUGUUGGCCACCUAAAUGUCUUCUUUUGAGAAGUGUCUGUUCAUAUCCUUUGCCCACUUUUAAUGGGAUUUUUUUCUUGUAAAUUUAAGUUCCUUGUAGAUUCUGGAUAUUAGCCCUUUGUCAGAUGGAUAGAUUGCAAAAAGUUUCUCCCAUUCUGUAGGUUGCCUGUUCACUCUGAUCAUAGUUUCUUUUGCCAUGCAGAAGCUCUUUAAUUAGAUCCCAUUUAUCUGUUUUGGCUUUUAUUGCCAUUGCUUUUGGUGUUCUAGUCAUGAAGUCUUUGCCCAUGCCUAUGUCCUGAAUGGUGUUGCCUAGGUUUUCUUCUAGGUUUUUUAUGGUUUCAGACCUUACAUUUAAGUCUUUAAUCUAUCAACUUAAUUUUUAUAUAAGGUGUAAGGAAGGGGUCCCAGUUUCAGUUUUCUACAUGUGGCUAGCCUGUUUUCCCAACAUCAUUUAUUAAAUAGGGAAUCCUUUCCCCAUUGCUUGUUUUUGUCAGGUUUGUCAAAGAUCAGAUGGUUGUAGAAGUGUGGCGUUAUUUCUGAGGGCUGUGUUCUGUUCCAUUGGUCUAUAGCUCUGUUUUGGUACCAGUACCAUGCUGUUUUGGUUACUGAGCCUUGUAGUAUAGUUCGUUCUUUUUGCUUAGGAUUGCCUUGGCUAUAUGGGCUCUUUUUUUUUUGGUUCCAUAUGAAAUUUAAAGUAGUUUUUUCCAAUUCUGUGAAGAAAGUCAAUGGUAGCUUGAUGGGAAUAGCAUUGAAUCUAUAAAUUACUUUGGGCAGUAUGACUAUUUCACAAUAUUAAUUCUUCCUAUCCAUGAGCAUGGAAUGCUUUUUCCAUUUGUUUCUGUCCUCUCUCAUUUCCUUGAGCAGUGGUUUGUAGUUCUUGAAGAGGUCCUUCACGUCCCUUGUAAGUUGUAUUCCUAGGUAUUUAAUUCUCUUUGUAGCAAUUGUGAAUGGGAGUUCACUCACGAUUUGGCUCUCUGUUUGUCAAUUAUUGGUGUAUAGGAAUGCUUGUGAUUUUUGCACAUUAAUUUUGUAUCCUGAGACUUUGCUGAAGUUGCUUAUCAGCUUAAGGAGUUUUUGGGCUGAGAUGAUGGGGUUUUCUAAAUAUACAAUUAUGUCAUCUGCAAACAGAGAUAAUUUGACUUCCUCUCUUCCUGUUUGAAUACGCUUUCUUUCUCUUGCCUGAUUGUCCUGGCCAGAACUUCCAGUACAUAGGAGUGGUGAGAGAGGGCAUCCUUGUCUUGUGCCGGUUUUCAAAGGGAAUGCUUGCAGCUUUUGCCCAUUCAGUAUGAUAUUGGCUGUGGUUUUGUCAUAAAUAGCUCUUAUUAUUUUGAGAUAUGUUCCAUCAUAUCUAGUUUUUUGAGUGUUUUUAGCAUGAAAGGGUGUUAAUUUUAUCGAAGGCCUUUUCUGCAUCUAUUGAGAUAAUCAUGUUUUUGUCAUAACUGCUAUUUCAAAUGUUUGGAGGAAGUAAAAUGUCUUUAAAAGAAUAAGUGUUGAUUUUUGGAAAAUAUGAAAUUGGAAACUUAGAAAACUUGAAUUCUAAGUGGCUAUUUAUAUUACCAAGCGGUAAAACAUUAGCUAACUAAAACAUGGUUCUGAAGCCAGUUAACUAGCAAAAAGUCCCACCUAUGCAUUGAAAUAUCUUUCUCAAGUCAUUAGAUAAAGUAUAUGGCGUUAAGGCAAAAAAUACAUAUACACACACAAAAAAAAUAUUUCAGCAGCCACUGCCAACUGAAAGUAAUAAAAUGAAACAAUUUGUUGGCUUUAAUGUAUUUAGGAAAAAUCAUUUAUUUACAAAACAUCUUCCCUUUCUUAUCAUGAAAAUUAUGAAGAUGAGGUAAAGUCUGUUCCAUUUUUCCUCUAUUUUUGAGAAAUCUUAGAUUUAUCUUUACCAGUCUGUAACCCAGCUUUCUUGUUUUAUAUUUUAAAUAUACUUUCUAUUUUGUGACAGGAGUGAAAAAAUGUUUAAUGAUUUUAAACAUGUUUAUAUAUAUUUUUCAGACUUGGAACAGCAGUAUCUCAUGUUUUACUAUAAAAACUUGGGUAUAUUACUUGAAGAUCAACUAUAUUGUUAUUUUUAGUAUGUUAGCAAUUCAUCUGUCAAUAAUCACCAAAGAACUCAAGAAUGAAUAACAUGAUCUAUCAAAAGGCCUAUAAUCUCAAUCUUCAUGUUAAGACUUUGGAAAGUUAAUUUGUAUUAAUUAACUAAUAUAAAUUAAUCCUAUCAAGUUAAUUUGUAAUAAAUUCAAGAUGCAAAAAGAAAACCUAUUUCACUACCGAAAUUAAAUAAACUUUAAAAUUCAUUUUGUUGGCUGGGUGCAGUAGCUCACGCCCAUAAUCCCAGCACUUUGGGAGGCCAAGUGGAAGGAUCACUUAAGGCCAGGAGUUCAAGACCAGCCUAGCCAACAUAGUGAAACCCCAUCUCUACUAAAAAUACAAAAACUAGCUGGGCAUGGAGGUGUGUGCCUGUAAUCAUCUACCCUGGAGGCUGAGACAGGAGAAUUGCAUGAACCCGGAGGCAAAGGUUGCAGUGAGCAGAGAUCACACCACUGCCCUCCAGCCUGGGUGACGGAGUAAGACCCUGUCUAAAAAAAAACAAAACAACAAAAAAAAUCAUUUUGUUGGUAUUUUAUAUAAACUUAAGAAACCUCCCCACACAAACACACACAGCCAUAUUGUCAUCUCUGAAGACAGCAGCCACAUGUGUCUUAUUCCCUGCAGUGUUGGCAGAACCUAGCACAUUGUUGACCCGUAGAAGCACAGUGUGUAUUUCAAUUGACAAACAGCCAGAAGUAUUAUACUGUUGACUGUGUUUAAAACUAAUUUGCCAGAGCUCUACUGUGAUAAGAAUUUCUGACUAGAAAUUAUAAAUUCAUUGUUUUAUGCCUUAAAAAUUAUAAAUAAUGAUAAGUUUAAUUUGCAGCCCUUAUAGCUUAGAGGCAUUGUAGUUGAUAUUAUAGUAACCCUUUUAGAUGUUAGUAACUUUUAUUGUAAAAUUUAAGGUAGCUCUACCUGCUAAAGUAGCACCUAUUCUUUUGAAAGGAACUUUCUCAAAGGAUUUUUAGGGCUUCAUAAUUUCUUGUUGCUCUGUGUAAAUCCCUCUGAUAGGCUUCCCUGAAGGAUUUUAAGCAGAAAUAACAUCAGGUACCAGUAGAUGGCAGUGAAAAAUAAGCAGACACAUUUUUCUGAUAAAAUGCCAUUUCUACCUCAGUACUUGAUAAGAAUCACACAGUCUAGCUGGCCUUUGUGUUUUCACUAAAAAUAUCCUGAAUUAUCAGUCAGUUAUGUUUGACUAUGAGAAAUUGCAGAAAAGUUAAAAGUAUUUCGCAUCCAAAAGUUUGUAAUCUAGUGUAAUAAAUAGGACAGAUACUCAAAGUGUAUGAAUGGUAUGACAAUAAAUUUAGAAAAUCAUACAGGCACACACACUGCUAUAGACAUGUAAAGAUACAUACAUGUAUUGGAGCUCAGCAGAUUCCCAUUCAUGAAGAAUGGUGCCUGUGUAACAGUAUAAAUGGAUCACUUCUAAUAAAUAAAACAUAAAAUUGGACUAAUAGCUUAAUUUUUUUUUUUAAUUCAAAAAUCUCAGGGUUUUCUGGGGCUUUUAGUACUCCUUUGUGAAAUAAGACACAUAGUCUUCAGGUAAAAAGAAAGAGCUCUUGGUCACAGAAAUGGGUGUACUGAAUUCUCGCCCUGUAGUCAAGUACUUACUAUGAGUUUGGAAAAAUUGCUUACUUCAUAUCUGUAUCCUAAUUAUCCUAAUUAACUCGUUUGUUAAGUGGAAAAAAUAUUUCAGUAGGUAGUCAUAUAAAUAAGAUGAGGUAAUGUGUUUAGAAAAACAAAUCAAUGUGCAGGCAAGAAUCGGGAAUGUGGGAAAUUUUGUAGGACAAAUGGUAUGAUUUCUUUAAUGAAAAAGACAGAGAAAGGUAUCGUAUAGCUUAAAAGGAAAAAGAAAAAGAGGCUUUUCAGUCAUGAGCCAAAUGCAGUAUGUGGGCUAUAUUUGCAUCUUGAUUUGAACAGACUAUUGUAUACAUUUAUAUAUACAUAGAUCUAUAGAGACAGUAGGAUAUAUUUCAUAUAUAUAUGAAACAGUUGGGGAAAUCAGAAUAUUUGAAUUUGAUAUUAACUAAGAAUUGUUUGCAGGGGAUGUUGUUGCAUAUUCUAAUGACUUUUUUUAAUAAUGAAAAUGUUUGGCAUUUGCUUUAAAAUAAUCCAGUAACCAGGAUCUGAGAGAAACCAAAAAAAAGUGGGGAGAUAAUAAUCCAGGGACUUUGGGUAGUUGUUAAAUGGAUGGCUGUAUCAUAAGUAUUGAAGCUGAUAAGGGAUAGAUAUGGGUUGAUUAUAUAUUUGUUUUGCUGGAAAAUGUUCCAUGAUACAGUUUUAAUAACAGUUUUAAUUUCAGAAACGCAAAAUAUUGUUUUUACAACUAAGAUAACAUUGAAAUUUAUACAGAACCCCAAAUGACAAGUGUAUAAUCAACUGCCAGGAAAUCAGUUUACCUGUUAGAGGUAGAAAAGUUACAGGAUAAAAAUGGAAUUGGUUGGCACUAAGUAGGACCACUUUCGAAGAGAAUGGGUAGAAUUCAUUUUCUUUUCAUUACUUCCUUUCAGCGUGGAGCCUGAGCAUCAUUUCACCAUUUUGAGCCUCAAGCUCUCAAUAUACUGGAAAAUUGUAAUCCUGUUCCCUUCACUGAGGUCAUAAUACUGAAUUCUGAAAUGGAAAUAAUUGACUAGAGAUUGUCUAGUCAAACUAGACUGAUGAGGUCUCACCAUUUUCUUCAAGGAAGAUCAACUGAACCUGCCUGAAGGCACAGGGUACACCAUCUUCCUAAGGUGUGACCUCCUGUUCCCAAAGGAAUAGACCUAGGUGACCAACCAGCAGCACCUAGCUUUUGCCAGCUACGCAGCUUUGAAUAGCCUUCCACCCUUGUGUCCUUCAAACCCCAUUCUUGCCAAAGCCAAGUUCUCUCCCUCCCUCUCAACAGAUUUCUCAGCACACAUCAGAUUUCACACCGAUCUAUGAAAAACUAUUUUUAGAGAUUAUUACUAUGGUCCGAAUGUUUAUAUCCCCUCCUGCUCUCCCUAAAAUUAUGUUGAAAUCCUAACCCCCAAGGUAAUGGUAUUAGGAAUGUGAGGCCUUUGGGAAGGGUUUAAGUCAUGAGGGCAGAGACCUCCUUUUUGAGAUUGGUACACUUAUAAAAGAGACCCCAGUAUCUUGCUCGUCCCUUCUGCCAUGGGAGAACACGGUGAGAGCGAGCCAUCUGUAAACCAACAAACAAGGCCCUCACCAGGCACUCAAUCUGCCAGCACUUUGAUAGUGGACUUCCCAGCCUCCAGAACUAUGAGAAAUAAAUGUGUUUUUUUAAGCCAGCCAGUUCAUUUUGUUAUAGCAGCCUGGACAGACAAUAUAUUGAAAAAAAUCAGUUUUGCAGUUCCACUGGUCAGGUGAAUGCCAGAGGAGCUGGUCCACAGUCAUAGGCGUUAAACUUCUUUUGGAAACUAUACUGGCUUGACAGUCUCCCCAUACUGAUUCAGACUCCAGCAAGGUGCACAUCACCCGCUAGUCAUUGUGGCUUCUGCUGCUUUAAGGUUCUGGAAUUAUGGAAGAAAAUAGGGUGGGCCUACUGUCUCUUCCCACUGUUUACCUGGUGUUUUGAUUCUGAAUAGUUUAUAAGCUCUGCUAUUCAAGAAGUUUAUACAAACCCGUAAUGUACUACCAAACCGUUCAUUCAUUAUGACAAAACUGCCUACCAAAGCCACAGACUUUAAGUCUUUGCAGGAUUACCACUGAAAGUUCACAUGCUUGGUUAGCAGUCUUAACCUCUAACCAACUGAACAAAUCGAAGACAUUUAAUUUAGUCAAAAUAGGCAUGGGAAUGAAAGUGAGACUUAGAGGCAAAGAAUGAGGCCAGGUGCGGUGGCUCACACCUGUAACUCCAGCACUUUGGAAGGCCCAGGCAGAAGGAUUCCUGCAGACCAGGAUUUCAAGACCAGCCUGGACAACCUGGUGAAACCUCCUCUCUACAAGAAAAUUCAAAAAUUAGCCAGGCGUGGUAGGGUAUGCCUGUAGUCCCAGCUACUUGGGAGGCUGAGGUGGGAGGACUGCUUGAGCCCAGGAGGUCCAGGCUGCAGUGAGCCGUGAUCACACCACUGCACUCCAGACUGGGAGGCAGAGGAAGACCCCGUCUCAAAAAACAAAAGGUAAAGAAUGAUUUUAGGAAUUAGGUGUCUCUAAAUUGAAGUAAUGCUCACAUAGAAAAAUUAAGGCAUAUUAUUUUACUGUACUCUCAGAAAGAUGUUUAACAAAUACUUGAAGAGCCACUAUUUAAGAUAAAUGAGAGUCCUUUCCAAUUUGAGCCUCGCAGAGUGGUUCCUACAGAGAAGGGUGGCAAGAAGGGCUGUUCUGCCAUCAAUGAGGUGGUGACCCGAGAAUAUGCCAUCAGCGUCCACAAGCCCAUCCAUGGAGUGGGAUUCAAGAAGCAUACCCCUCAGAGCACUCAAAGAGAUCCGGAAGUGUGCCACAAAGGAAAUGCGCGUUGAUACCAGCCUCUACAAAGCUGUCGGGGCCAGGCGAAUAAAGGAUGUCCCAUGUCUUAUCCAUAAGCAGUAGUCCAGAAAACAUAGCGAGGAUGAAAAUUCACCAAACGAGCUCUUAUACUUUGGUUACCUAUGUACCUGUUACCACUUGCAGAAAUCAACAGACAAGGUGGAUGAGAACUGUAAAUCAUCAAAUAAGUUAUAAAACCACCAAAAAAUAGGAGAAAAUGGGAGUAAAAACAAAAUGUAUAAAAAGUAUUAAAAUUUGAAAAAUAUCUUGGAAAUAAGGAUGGACAGUUUAAGUACUUAUCUCAAAAGGAAAAAUGUUAGCAAUUGGUUGUAGCAAUACGUCCGUCUGUAAGUGAUGGUCAUAUUUGUGUUCUUUUGUCCCAGAGAACAAAAGGAAGUGAGCUUAUCCCACAGCACAAGUAACGUCUAUUUAUCUCAGAGGAAAUCCAGGGAAGUUCCUACUUGGGAAAACGGAAAGGUAGACUAUUCAGAAGUUUUCUAAAAUGGACUUCAAGCUCUAUGACUUUAUGAUCACUUAGUAUGUCUACGGAUUUUUUGGGGAAGAGAGAUUUCACGUUAAAGGUCAUUUUGUGUCUUCUUUAAAACUCUUGAUUCCUUUUAGAGUUUUUUAAAUUGUGAUAAAGUACAUGUAACAAAAUUUAUUAAUCAUUUUAAAGUAGCAUACAGUUCAGUAGUGUUAAGUAAUUUCACAUUGUUCAACCCAUCUCCGUGACUUUAUCUUGCAAAACUGAAAUUUUAUAUCCAUAAAGCAAAACCUUUUUAUUUACCAAUGCUGCUAGACCCUGACAACCACCACCCUACUUUCUAUCAAUAUGACUACCAUAGAUAUUUAAUGUAAGUGAAAUCAUACACCAUUUAUCUUUUUGUGAUUCCUUAUUUUACUUAGCGUAAGUCCUCGAGACUCACCCAUGUUGUAGCAUGUGUCAUAAUUUUCUUGUUUUGAGACGGAGUCUUACUCUGUCCCCCUGGCUGGAGUGCAGUGGUGUGAUCUCAGCUCACUGCAACCUCCACCUCCCAGGUUCAAGCGAUUCUCCUGCCUCACCCUCCCAAGUAGCUGGGACUGCAGGCAUGUGCCACCACGCUGGCUAAUUUUUGUAUGUUUAACGGAGACAAGGUUUUAGUGUGUUGGCCAGGCUGGUCUCGAACUCUUGACCUCAGGUGAUCCGCCUGCCUUGGUCUCCCAAAGUGCUGGGAUUACAGGCGUGAGCCACCGCACCCAGCCAAUUUUCUUCCUUUUUAAGGCUGAAUAAUAUUCAAUUAUAUAUACAUUCUACAUUUUGUUAUUCGUCCGUUGAUAGGCUGCCUUCACCCUUUGGCCAUUGCAAAUAAUGCUGCUAUAAACAUGGGUGUACAAAUAUCAGAAACCCUGCUUUCAGUUCUUUCAGCUAUAUACCUAGAAGUGUAAGUCUAUAUCAUAGUAAUUCUAUUUUUAAUAUGGGGGGACCUCCAUACUGUUUUUCAUAGCAGCUGCACCAUUUUACAUUCCCACCAAUAGUGCACAAGAGUUCUGAUUUUUCCACAUCCUCACCAACACUCAUUUUUUUUAAAUAGUAGGUAUCCCAAUGAGUGUGCGUUCAUAUCCCAUUGGAGUUUUGAUUUGUACUUUUAGAGUCUUUAAAUUAUUACUUUUUCCAUAUCAAAGUACUUUGUGGGAAGUUGGUUAUUUUACAUUCUCAUACCAUGCUUUGUAUUACUUUCCCAUUUGGAUGCCCUUUUCAUCCUUCACCUCAUCCUGUAAACCCAAAAUCUAACUUAAAUCCCAAAUCCAACUUCCACUGUAAAGCCUUUGCUGACUUCUUUACUUCACAUUGAUUUCUGAAUUUCUAAAAGUUCCUCAUUGUCUACCACAAAACUAAGUAUUUGUUUAUAAGAAAAAGCUUUAUUUAGUCCUAUAUUAUUCUCUGAUUAUUCCAUAUGUUAUCUUCCAAACUAGAUUGUUAGGUCUUCAAGAGCAGAAGAAAUUUAUUUUAUACUUAUAAACUUCAAGAUUUGCUGAAGUACUUUGGGUGCUAAAUGCUUCUAGCUUAUUCGUUUAGUUUACAUGACUUUCUGCAUGUGAAACUUGAGAAAACUGCAAAUCUAAUACCUUGGUCUUACAGAACUGAACAAUACUUAAAUGUGUUUAAACCUGCUAUAUAAAAUGUCAGAUGUAAAAGCGAAUAUCUAAUGAAGCACCUUUUCCCUUUUCUAAAAUUCAAUAGUAAGGGCCAGGCACAGUGGCUCACACCUGAAAUCCCAGCGCUUUGGGAGGCCGAGGCGGGUGGAUCCCUUGAGGUUAAGAGUUCAAGACCAGCCUGGCCAACAUGGUGAAACGCCGUCUCUACUAAAAAUACAAAAAAAAAUGGCCAGGCGUGGUGGUGCACGCCUGUAAUCCCAGCUACUUGGGAGUCUGAGACAGGAAAAUCGCUUGAACCCGGGAGGCAGAGGUUACAGUGAGCUGAGGUCACGUCACUGUACUCCAGCCUGGGCAACAAGAGUGAAACUCUAUCUCAAAAAAAAAAAAAAAAAUUACAAUAGUAAUAAUUAUGCCUUCUAACACUAAAAUCAAAUAACCUUACUUAUCAGUUACAUUGCCUACUAAGCUGACUUAUUUUCUGACUUUUCCUUUGCUUUAUUCUCUUAUUUCUUCCAAGUAACCAUAUUCUCUUUUACCCUCCUGUUCAACUGUCUAUGCUCCUUCUCUCUUUGUUCACUAUUUUGAUAUUUAAAUGUUAUGACUUAUUUUCAAGUAAAUAUUUUUUUAAUUUCUUCAUUUGGGAUAAAAUAUUCACUACAUAAAUUUAGUGGAUAAAUACCCCCACAGAGAUCGACCCUGCAUGAAAUGUGUUCCCUCAGAAGUAGGGCAAUUCAUUCAUUAUGAGAUCAAGCCAUAAAAUUUAAAUCCAAGCAGUAAUUCUCCAAUUAAAGUAACUCUAGAGCUUAGUUUUCAGUCCUCCUGAAUCAUAACUAGUUGGCAACAAAAACUAGUAUGCCUUGGUGUGAAUAAACCUUAACAUAGAAACUCACCCAGCCUCAAAAGUUAAAAAUUAAGAGAGAUAUGUAUUCAGGUGGCCAUUUAUACACAAUAUUUUUGAAUACUAUUCUGGCCAAAUUAGUAUAAAAUGGGUUACUCUAAAAUGAAAUUUUAAAAGUAUAUAAACAUCUUAAACUUUAAAACUUCAGCCCAGCUAGAAGUCAACGUGUGUUUCUGAAACUAUGCUGGGGAAAGUAGCUCUGUCCAUAAUGAUUAUAUAGUUGUUAGCAAAAUAUUGGUCAAAACUUUUUCAGUUUAAUGAGUUUCAAGAUAUUCUUCAAACUGGCCUCUGUGAACUCUUUCUUGACAAGUGAAACCUGGCUCCAACAAUGACUACUUUAUUCUACCUCUCAUUUAUUUUCUGUUUAAUAAAUCCAGUAUUUGGGCAUACAAACUGUAUACAACAUUUUAUAACACUCUAAUGUGGAUAAGACACCUCAAAAACAGGAGUUUAGUCAUUUCAGUCACAUGUUUCUAAUACAUGAUAAGAUUUGCAGUUAUCGUUUAAUUAAUUGCAAUAUGGAAAUAGAUACUAAAAAAUCUAAAUUGCAUCUUACAUUUCAACAAUGGAUGUUUAAAGCGUUUAAAAGUUAUGUUUUGCAUUUUACAACAUAUUGAAGAUACACAUUUUAAAUUUAACUCUAAACAAUGCAAUAAUCUAGAGAAUCAGAGAAUUGGAUCCUGAAACACCUUAUAAGUUCAGUCCUGUUGAUUAGUAUGUUUCCCUGUCCUAGAGUGCAUGAACUUUCAAAGCCAGGACACAAUCUUGUUCACUUUUCAUGCCAUCAUCUUGACACUCAAUACAUGUUCAAAGAGUAAAUUAAAGAAAAAAGAGAUGCUCAAGUCAAUUUAUAAGUAAUCCUCACAAAUGCUUGCAUACCAUCAGUGAACAAUUAUUUUUUUAUCUCCAUGCUAUAAUCUUGCACAAGUUUCAUUAGAAUUAAAUGCACUAUCUGAAGUCUAUGUUUAUUAAAUGAGGAUUACAGUAGUUGGUUAUCUUUGUGAGGGGUUUUGAGGGUUGUGGAACAGGAUAACAUUUUGAGGUACAAAAAAUAAUGAAGAGGAUAUAUUCCAAUUUCUUUCCUUCCCCAAGGCUUUUCAUUACAGCUGUUAUAAACCCUGGUAGAAUUGAUUGGUUUCCUUUUCAGCUUCCUGUUUUGUCCCUCAAUGUUCACAAAAGUCCCAUCUGAUAAAUGUAUUGUUUAACCUCUCAUUGUUUGAAAGAACACCUCUUUGCUCCCCACAGAUUACAGACCUAUUGGCUUAAGCAGUCCAUCUAAAUGCAUGCCAGUUUCUUUCUUGAUAAAUUAGAGGCCUAUAACCUCAAACCAGUUUAUCUGCAAGAGAAGUGUGUGAAGUUAGACUCAAUUCUUCCGCUAAUGGAACAUCGUAAUCCUCCUUGUCAUCUUUCCUUUGGCCUUCCUGAAUAGAAAUCAUUUAUGAGGAAGUUACAUGAGCUCAACAUGAGCCCCAUGUCACUCAGCAAACAUUUAUUUGAGUACUUACAAUGUGCUAGGCUUUGUUCUAUGCAUUUAAGAUAGUGUAUUAAAUGUAUUGACCUCAUGAAGAUUCUAUUCUCGCAGUGGGGAGAUAGACAAUAAACAAUUAAUAUAAGCAAAUGUUAAGUAUGUUAGAAGUAUGUUAGAAGAUGUGCUGUGAAAUAAAGAAAAAGGUAGACCAGGGUAUGAGGGAUUAGGAGUGUGGGGGCAGCAGCAGGAGAGUUUCGGUAUUAAAUAGGGUGGACAGGGCAGGUCUCUUGGAGAAGAUGCCAUUGAAGGAGGUGGAAAAAAUGUAGCCACUAAAUGGGCUGAGGGUAGAGCAUAUGAACAGAGAGAAAGGCCAGAGGACAGGCUCCAAGGCAUGCUUGGCAGGUUCAAGGAACAGCAGGGAGGCUCAUGUGGCUGGAAUGGAGUGAGCUAGCAGGAGAGAAGAUGAAGUUAGAGGGAGAGAGAAAGUGGGGAGCCAGAUCAUAGAGGGCUUUGCAGGUCACUUGUAAGGACUUUAGCUUUCUAACUUUUGUAAGGACUUCAACUUCUACUCACAGUGAAAUUGUGAAAUUCCAGAACCAAAAAGAAGAUCCUGGUAAAAGAGAAACUUUCAGCAAAAUAUAUUUAACAUUUUAUUUGAGUGAAGAACAAUUCAUCCAUCAGGCAGCACUGAGAACCAGAAGACAUUCAGAGAGCUCUGCUUUGCGAGGUAUGCAGUGAACAUUCAUAGACAGAAAACAAAAAUUAAGUACAGAAAUAGCUUGAUUGGUUACAGAUAGGCAUUUGCCUUAUUUGGACAUGGUCUGCUCCAAAUAAGGCAAGUUGGCAGCAUGCAAUUGGCUGUGACCUAUCUGUUACAAAAAUAUAUCUAUAUAAUCCUAAAUUAGGUUUCAGUUUAUUUAAGUACUAAAUUAGGUUGCAAUUUAUUACAUGGGAACUCAAAGUCUGGAGACAGCCUCAGGCCAAGGUCCUCUUGCUUAUUUAAUUUAGCAAUCCUAAAAUUUUCCAGAGAGGAAACACAUCACACACACACACACACACACACACACACACACACACACACACACUACCUACAAAAAAAUAACAAUUAGAAAGUAAUUGGAGCUUGAAGUAUUCUAGAAGACUUUGGAGCAAAGCCUUCCAAAUUCUGAGAGGAAAAUAUUUUUAACCUAGGAUUCUAUUCAUACCUACCCAGACUAACAAGUAGCAGGCAGAUGAUAAAUAUAUUUUUAGGUGGUUAGGUGAUGAAACACCUCCUCCAAAUGAAGGCAUAAACAACAAUGCAUGGGGAUCCAAGAAACAGUGACUCCAACCCAAGAGAGCAGUGAACAAAUCCACAGGACAGCAGCUAAGUAGGAGGCCUAAACAUCACCUGGGGCAGAUGGGGCGAGAGAGCAGAGAGCUUGGGAAAGAAGUCUCUGAGGAGAAAGAAUGAGGCAAUAAGUCAGAUGCGUAUUUGCGGACCUCAGAAAAAUUUGAGUACAUAGGAAACAAUAGAUGAAGGAUAGAAAUAAUCCAUUCAGAUUCUCUCCUUUGCAUGAUGACCACAUUAAACUUACAGAGUAAGAAAUGUCAUUCUAGAUUUGAUUCUACUGUUUGUCUUUGCAGUGAGCUAUGUUUUUUUAUAACAUGUAGAAGUGAAAUAAACUUGUCACAAAAAUGCAAA
Molecule: RNA transcript, 21001 nt
Organism: Homo sapiens (human)
Lineage: Eukaryota; Metazoa; Chordata; Mammalia; Primates; Hominidae
Gene: DNAJC10
Gene name: DnaJ heat shock protein family (Hsp40) member C10
Exons: 25
Source: RefSeq, marked reviewed